This 5734-nucleotide long non-coding RNA is filed under the name Arabidopsis thaliana (thale cress). RNAcentral's name for it is "potential natural antisense gene, locus overlaps with AT1G44120 (AT1G44125)". The record is from RNAcentral. Lineage: Eukaryota; Viridiplantae; Streptophyta; Magnoliopsida; Brassicales; Brassicaceae.
ACAAUUGUCGAUGAUUAAUCUGCAAAACGCAUUUGAACGUUUCAGAUUAUCACCGCGUUUAAUCGCCACCGUGAGACUUCCCGGCAAACAAUUCAAGAGACUGUUACCUCUCUCAUGGAAGCUCGAUGGAGCUGGAGAUUUCAAUUUUGAUUUCAUCAUCAAUUGCAGAACCGGAAUCGCAUCCGCCGCUAAAACAGCUUGAGAUCUAGCCGUCUCCGUCGGCAUUGUUGUCCACGAUUGUCGCAACGUGUAGAUCGUGUCCAUCGCCGAAUCUCUCGCUUCUUGCUCGCCGGAUUUCAAAGCUCCGAUUAAGUGAGGGAUACAAGCGGUAGCUGCUUCCGACGAACGGAGUUUUGGAAACGUUGUGAGAAUCGUGUUUAGCGUUCUCACUAUUUCUACGUUUAUCGCCGUCGUUGUCCAAAACUCUCUCUCCAUCGCAUCUGCAUUGAAAUCAGUGAGUGUUUGAUUCUCAAUCCGAUCAUAAAUUUUGAAUUCGGAAUUGAAACUUACUUGUUAGAGAUUUGAUGAUUUCACCAGAGACGUAUUCUUGAAGUGUAUGAUUAGAGAAGAGAGAUUUGAUAAUUAGAGCUGCUUGUGUAGAAACUUGUGGAUUACUAGAUCUAAGCAUUUCCUGAACCCAAUAUACUCCACCAGCUUCAGCCAUAGCUUUACGACUUGUUCUACUAUGCAUUGCAAAGUUUUCCAAAGCACGCAUCACAACCAUUUGCAUUUCCUCGCUCGGUUCAUCUUCAAGCAAGCUGAUUAACGCACGACAUGCCACGGGCGAGUCCGUGGCUUUAGCGAGUCCUUCGUGUUGAGAGAUGUCACCUAGAGCCAUUGCUAUGAGAAUUUUUGCGGAUUCUGAUAUUGUGUCUGGGUCUAGUAUGUACUCUGAUAGAGGGGUAAGUACAAACUGACAUAUCUUUGUCUCUCUAACCUUUGGAUUGCGUAGUAUUAAUUCGAGUAAUCUUGCUGAGAGUUCUUCGCAGUGGUGUGAUCUUAGUAGAUCUAGUAAUGCGUCGAGUGCACUGGAUUCUGCCAUUUCUUGAACGCUUGACGAGUCUUGAUUCUCACGGAUGAUCAAUGCGUCGAUGGCUAAGAUCACUGUGCUUUCAGCUGUGGAGAACAACAUUUUUGACAGAACUGGUAUAGUCACCGUAAAGUAAUAGUGUUCUGGGUUGAUUCUGAGAAUGUUGCAGAGAAUGAAAGCUGCUGAUUCCCAUAGAUAUACAGGAAGCUGAGGAUCUUCGUCGAUGAUAACCUUGGAGAGCUCUUGAAUUCCUCCGGUAUCUGCUACCUCUUUUGGCCAUGUAACUGAAGAUCUCUCUAAACCCAUCAAUGCUAUCUCUUGUAAGUUUCUUACUCUGAUCCCUACCAGUUUCACUAGAGGAGCAAUGAGAUUUUUGGUUGUUAUCUCUUCUUGGAAACGUUGCAUUUCGAGUAGAGAGGUCAGUAGUAUUGUGGUUGCAUUUUUGACCGCUAUUGACUCGGACUCAAGCAGUGGUAUCAAAGGCAUAAUGAUUGUGGAAGAUGCAAUUUUCAAUGAUUCAAGAACCAUUGGCUUCUCCAAGAUGUUUGCUAUAGCUUGUAAACCACCGAGUUGACCUUGAAAAUCCAAGUCUUGUCUAAGCAAAAUCAAAAGGAGCGGUUGUACCAUUUUUAUAGCGUCUUGGCUUCGAGCUAUAACACCAACGUUCGUCAAAACUCUGAAAAGAUCUGCGAUUACAGAACACAAAGAACUUGGCGGCGAUUUGGAGAGUUGGCUAAUACAUUUCUCGAUUAUCCCCAUUUUAAUCAGAUCCAUUUUCCGGGGAGUAUUGUCUUUAGCCAUUUUCGUAAGACAAGAAAUUGCAGCCUCACUGAUCAGAUAGUUUUCGGAAGCCACAUAUCCGUAGAACAGGUUCACACAAUCAUGUUCUUCUGCAACCUCUACAAAUCUUUUGAUAUCCAAGAGUCUGUCUAGUGCAAACAUUCCGGCUUCUAUAGCUGUACUUUUUCCUGUUCGGAUAAGUGAUAUAAGGGAUACAAUGCAACAUGCGGCAGAUGUGCUUGUUCUCAAACCUUCAUUGGUAAAUAGAAAGCGGCAUAUCCUUGCAGCACUUGUCUUUGAUUCAAGCGAAGAACUAUCUAAAGACAAAAUUUUGUAGAUGUUGUCCAAUGGGUUUCCUUCAAGACUAGUAAGAAUAUCUGGCCUUGGAUUUAUUCCCAUAGUUAGCUUCACUAAAGCUGUUAGAGCAGCUACUCUCUCACUCUCUAACGUUGUAUUCAACAUUUCAAUAAGAGGAGAAAGUGCUUUCCAUGCUAAUUCAGAAUCUCUGAUGUGCUCAGAGCUAAACAGUUCACAGAGGACCCUUGCAGCAUUGUAGCGAGUACUUCUAGAAGCAAGAUGAAGAAUUCCUAUGAGCUGCUUCAUGGAACUUAUAGCUGUUUUAUGUCGUGUGAUUUCCGGGCUGCGAAAGAGUGAUUCUAACAGUUCAGAAACGGUAAUCUCUGUUGAAUCUUGAGGGCUCAAAGAAAGGUACUUUGCUAAAGCAUCUAGAGCUCCAGCUUCAGCGAUAAGUAAUUUACUUAAAUCGUCAUUGUCUGCAAUACGACGAAGAAGUCGAAUAGCCACUGGAAUGCCUCCAACUUUAUCUGCAUAUGGCUUCAAGAGAUUCACGAGCAAGGGAAUACAUUUUUUGUAAAAUAUCCAUCAAUCAUCUGCUCAGAUUGCAUGAAAGGUGCUAGCGUUUGCAAAAUAUUUUCUGUUGCUGGAGAUGAGACAACCUUUGGUUCCUGAGACAUAACAGCUAAAAAUGACAUAGCGAUCCAUUUUUCCUCGGAAUCAGAGGAAUUCUCCUACAAAAAUUAAAGAUAAUAAGUCAGCAAAACCAACACUUGCAGGAUUUAGAAGAAAAAGCUAAAGAGAGCAAAAACGAGACAAAAUCUCUAUUGCUUUAUCUUGCACCAAAGGAUGACCUUCAGCUAAACCGCGGACAAGAGAGUCUAAAUUUGAAGGAACUUCACCGAAUGCAGAAAAAGGGUUAUGUGACAAGUUAGCACCAUAUUUAGCUUUGGCUAGUAAAGAGAGUACUUCUAAGACGUCGAUGAAAGCGCUGUUGUUCAGUGUUCCCUCUCUCAGUACUCUGGUCAAAGCAGAAACAACGUCAUCGUUUAAUGCUUCAGCUGCAACAUUUGGGUCUGAAAGAAGGUUCGCAAGAGUGGACAUGGGAUUCUCUGUUGACUCGAUGGGGUUUGUUUUUGCUGACUUUAUCAAUGGUUUGAUCACUUCGACUUCUGGACCGGAUAAUUUCUUUGUUGCAGUUUUUUUCUUUGUUGGAUUAGAUAGAGAGCCCAAGGCAUGCGCUAACUGCGUUGCAACAGCGUGAGUGUUUCCGCUUAAAAGCUUUGUGCACGGAUUGUCAUCCUCAUCAAAUCCAAGACCACCACAAAGGUCUUUUCUUGAACUGAAUAGAUCAGCCAAGACAGAAGCUGCGUUCUCUUUCAUCUUCUCGUUUGAUGAGGCAAGUCUCUGGACAAGCGACCUCAAUCCAUUAUUCGCUGCGGAACCCUUGGUGACAAAUUCUUCCAAAGAAGCCGAUGCAAGAACAUGGCCUAGAACUCUAAUCAAAUGAGUCUUUGAUUUAGGAGCAUCUCCAAGAAACAAAGCCUGUACUUGCUCGAUAACACUUGGAUCAGCUGUUUUAAUCAGUUUCAAAAGCGUAUUUGCUGAGCUCUCUUGUGAUUUUGGUCCACCGUUCUUUAAAAGACCCAAAAGUGCAGGAAUAGCUCCUGCUUUCUCAACGCAGAGGCGGAUUUCUUCGCUGUGACAACAUAGGUUCAAAAUUACACGGACCGCAUCGUCCUUUGCUUUCUGAGAUACACCAGUCUCUAAUAUCUGCAAUAAUGGAGGAAUCCCACCUGCAGAAGUAACAGCCCAUCUACUUUCUUCGACAUUAUCGGUCAAGAUCGCUAAGAACUCAACAGACAGUUCUUGAUGUUGUUCGCUAGACAAACCAAGGUACGGUAUGAGGAUUUGUAUCCCUUCUCUCUUCCCAAUAGCAUCCCAAACAUCACCAUGCUUGCAUAAAUUUGACAAACAAGUAAUCAUCCGCUCACGUGGACCGUCCGUGGCCAAUAUUGUUAGACAGACUAAAACCCUCUUAGCGUCAACAUUGUUGAGUAGUUUUGAUAGAUCAACAUUUCCGAAUAGACUUUCCAUAGCCUCCAAGAUACGUUCGUGGAUCAAUUGAGUAUCCCGGGGCUUUAGUAGUUUCACUAGUAUUCCUUCUGUUAGUGUUGGAUCAAAAGCUUCUCUAGUAUCACCGCAACUUAGCUGAAAUUUUCUCAGAGCAUAAGCAAGAGCUCCAAGAAUAUCAGCGAUGGGCUCAGUGAGGCGUGGAGACAAAGAUAGCCCUCCAAGAUACACUAUCAAACCAGACAUUCCUCCGCAUAAGUUUGCUAAAGCUUGUGUCCCAUAACUUUGUAAGACGCGUUCAGUUUCCUCCUCCACUGACUCUUUAGAAGAUGCAACCACUGCGCUAAUAAGAAGGUGGAUCCCAUCUAAAUCUCUUGCCACAGUUAUAGCUUCUUCUGACUUUGAUGUGAUGGCUUCUAGAGCGUUGACUACACUGGCACGUACGAAAACACUAUUUUCUUCACCUAGAAGCUGAACCAGAACUUGCACAGCACCUGACUCUUCAACUUUUGAGAUACUGCUGGUAAAAAUCCUGAUAAGACGAGCUAAGAGAGAAGCUGCGUUUGAUUGAGAUACCGGGUUACUAGACUGGAGAAGCUUUAAGAUGAUAUCUACUCCGCCAUCUUCAAGUGUUAAUGCCCAAAACCCGUCUUUAUCACCGCAAAGAUUUCUCAAAGCUCCAACCAAAUGUCCUUCCACUGUCUUGUCCUGUUUUUUCCCCGUCUUUAAUUGAUCCCACAAACUCGGUACCACGCCUUCCGUGACAAAUAUUUUAGUACCUACAUUAUCACCAUCCAUUCCACACAAGGAAACUUCAUAUAUGGCCUCGGCUACAACUCUUUUUGCAUCCACAGAGUCAGACUUCAAAAGUGAUAGCAGCGGUGGGAUACAUCCGCCUAUCAGUAUCUUAGAACGAACGUUUUUGUCUUUGCAUAGAACGGUUAGGACUGAAGCGGAAUUGAGUUUUGCCAAGAGGGUUCCACUCCUAAGAAGUGAUAUAAAGGCAGGCAUGGCGUUCACAUUCUGGCUAAUGAUCUUUCUACAUUCCUUUUUACCCUUGGCUAAACCAAGAAGCCGAGCGGUGCUAAGCUCUUUCUCUUGCGCCGAUGAUUUCUUGGCAUGAAGCUGUUCGAUGAGACGUGUGAUUGUAACCGCUGCUUUCUCUGGAUCAUCCAUCUCAGACGUCAUUGUUUUAUUAUCGUCCCUGCACCCAAAAGCCCUCAAUUAUACAAAGAUAAAGAUAGCAAAGCAAAUAGUCAAAAAGUAUUGAAAGCAAUUCGAUACCUCAGCCGAGGAGAAGACACGGAAGGAGUCUCUUGGUCAUUCGUUGAGGAGGGAGGCAUUGACAUAUUCUCUUUUCUGAAGAAACUCCUUUAGAAAACAGAAACAAAAACAUUUAGCUAAAUGGAUUCAACAACAAAUCAAACUAAAGAUAGAAUCCUCUUGAUUUUGUAUUAUUGUCAUUUGGUGAUUAAGAGAUUUUUUUCCUGCCACAAUCAAAUGCACAAUUCAUUUACAAAAUUACCUUUUAUGCAAACGUUCUAUUACUCCUUUUUA